AUGUAAGCAUAAGAUACCCAAGCCAGAAACAGCAACCCUUCCGGGUCCCCUUCCCCCACGUGGAAGCUUUCCUUUCACUUUCGCUUUAAUAAAUCUUGCCGCAGCACACUCCCUAAUCGAGCUGUAACACUCGCCGCUUCAUUCCUUGAAGCCCGUGAGACCACGAACCCUUCGAUUGAGAAGAACCUUCGGUCGGAAGAAGACUUCUCGUCUCAGUAACAAUAACAAGAAAAACAGCCUAGACUAGACGCACAUCAGGAAGACAGGUACCCAGCAUAACCCCAUUGCAGAGCUGUUCCCUGGGACCUGGAGAGGAACACAGCAGGCUGCCAUGCCCACUGCACCUGCAGCUGCAGAAUAAACACGUGGAGGUCAUUGAUCACCUUGACUGAAGCACUGCAGACAAGAUAAAGACAGCCUGAUGCAGAGGAAGAUUGAGGACUAAGGGGCUUCAUCCACAGUUAAUCCCUUCAUGUAUUGACCCGGAAACAUAAUCUCAUUUGCCUAUAAGACAGAGAGAGAGAGAAUAAUAGAA
This 535-nucleotide long non-coding RNA is filed under the name Pan troglodytes (chimpanzee). Its description in RNAcentral is "lincRNA". Lineage: Eukaryota; Metazoa; Chordata; Mammalia; Primates; Hominidae. The record is from RNAcentral.